This 3431-nucleotide long non-coding RNA is filed under the name Gallus gallus (chicken). The record is from RNAcentral. Lineage: Eukaryota; Metazoa; Chordata; Aves; Galliformes; Phasianidae.
GGUUAACUCCCGCAGCAGCUCUGGGAGGGGUUGCUUUCAGGCUUCCAUGCAGAAACUGUAUUACAUUGAGGUGAGAGGCAAACUUAAGGGCUCUGUUUUCCAAAUCUCCCACAAGGCUGGGAAGGCCUAAACAGGGGGAAAGGAUUCAGCAAGCUCGCAAAGGGGCUUUGGGCUUUUCUUGACCUUGUCUAGGGGCUUGCCAUUUCACCUGAGCACCUUGAGGCUCAGUAAGGUACAGCCAUUUGGCCUCUCUUGAGUCUAGGUGUGAUGUUAGACACCAGGAUUCAGCUCGAAGCUCACCCCGGAAGCAGACCAGGCACCAUUGCAGAGCCUGCAGCCCUCACUGCAGAGAACAUGGCAGCUGCCCUUCCCAUGGCUGGUGUCUCCUGCUGCUUGGCACCCAGCUCCAUAGGGGCAGCUCAGCUCAUACCAGACAUGCUGUUGCAUAGGCUGAAAUACCAAGAAGCCACCAUCUGCCAACAAGCUGCUGGCAAGCUAAAAAGUAAAGAGUCUUUCUAAUUUUUCUUUCUUUUCACAAACCCAGCUUCUCCUGCAAGCAUGUUUAUUUUGGUGCUGUAUGGGCAGUUGCUUAGACACUUGCAUUAAAUAAACUGUGUGCGGAGGUUCAUGUUUGCUAACUGGGCAUUUUCCCUAUUUCUGCUUCCUUCUUCGUGUUACUCAGACAGAAAUAAAAUGGGAAAAGUGCAGUUCCUAAUGGACUCAUCCUGGGCUUGCUGACAUCCAGACAAGUGUCAAUCUGUGUGUAGGAAGAAGCUCUUGAGGCUCUUUGGGCUGUGCAGGUUUCUGCUGGCCAUGGCGAUGGCCCUGACUGCAGCCACCUCACCCCUGCGGAGCUGUGGAAACCAGGGUCAGACCCAACAAAAGGUCAGCUGAGUGCUGGUGUAGAAUGCUGGUGUAGAAUGCUGAGAGCAUUAAUGAAGCAUCCCCUGCAUUCCAAAGGGACCUGCGGCCACAGGUUCUUGCCUUGGGGUGUGUCCUGCGUCCCUACAGGGGCCAUACCUGUAAGGAAACGGCUUCACUUUGUUAACAAGUCCUGUUAACAGGAUUGUGGGGAAAAACCAUAAAACAUCUUCUUUCCCUUUGACAUUAUGACUGUGGAGCAUCUCAGCUAUAGGCAGCACAAUAACAGUAGCAAUGUUGAGUAUGUGGCACACGGCUAGCAGACCAAAGGGUUCUGGCUACAGGCGAUGCAGCCCCACAAGCUCAGCCAGGCGUGCCCGGCCAGCACCUGCAUUCUUGCUUUGUUGUUGUUAUGAUAUACCUGAGUUAGAGAAACUUGCAGGGAGCUGAUCUGCAACUGGACAAGGGCUUCAGACCCUGCAGAAAGAGCCAUCUCGGGUUACAGCAAUCAUGGCCUCCCCUCAGAUGUGCGAUGUUCAAAGCGCCGAGAGUCCUGGACUUUCCCAGCAGAUUCCUCUGGAAUGUAAAUAAUCUUCAGAUCCCCAACCAGGUGCCAGCAGACUCCUUGGGGUAGCUGAAGGGGAAGUCCUCAUGACAUAUGCGCACUAAAUAAUAAUAAUAAUGAUGAUUACGGUGCUUUUUUGUGUUUUGGUGCUUUUGUUAUUGUAUUUUUUUUUCCUUUUAUUUCUUUAGGGGUUGUGCUAGCUUGGGAAAAACAAGAGCUGUCAGUAGAGAAUGUUACUGAAAACACAUCAACUUAGAUCGGGAUUCAUUGAGUAUUGGUAACAUAGAGGUCUGGGCUAUGAUGCAGUGAUGAAAUGCAGGAAUGUUUCCUUUGGCUUGGAGUGGUGAUGUGAAGCAGACGUUUUAAAUGGAGGCCCUGGCACUGCAGGUAGAAAGCACCUCCAGCUACAUGAGUAUGAACACUGGAGAUGAAUGCAGCCACACGCAGAGCUUUGGCUCUGUUUUUACCCUUUACACAGAGAGGGGACUCAGCACCGGGGCUCUGCUCUUGGUUCUGCCUCUGCCUUCCUGGCUGACCUUGAGAAAAACACUUCACCGCUCAUGCUUCAGUUUCUCCAGAGGAAAAACUGAGGCCAGUAGGCUGGGCCCAGAGAGCAGUGGAAGCGCUGUGAUCCUCAUCAGCAACUUCCAAUGUGGCCAUGGGUGUGCUUACAUUGGCACUGCUGGCUGCUGGGUGUGACAGAGGCGUAUUGUGAGUGACAGAACAGCAGGGAUAGGGUAGGAGUCCCUGCCAGCUUCGCUCCUGCACCUCCUGCAAGGACAAUGGAAGUGCUAUCUGAAAGAUGCGCUGGCUGGUGCUGAAAUGUUCCUCAGGAAAUUCUUUGAAUGUCUUUCUUUAUUGUGAAACUCGCCAAGCCUCUGUGUCUUUAAAUGAUUUCUGUGUUGUUCAUCUCUUCCUUUUUUUCGUUUUCUUUCCCUCUCCGAGCAUUUCCUGUGGGCCUCCUGGCUGCUGCUUCCUUUAGCCUCUCCGUCCUGCUCUGACUUCUCCUUUCUCCAGUCCCUCCCAGCUGGCAGCCCUUCAGAGCCGUAUCCCACAUUUUGCAGUCUGUUGGCCAAGCAUGGCCCCUCAUCUAUAAGGAUGACUCAAGUCCUGCUGCAGUGUCACCAGGGACACUCCUUGUCCCUUGUGAAGCAGUUAGCCUCCUUUAUCCAGGACAUCAACCAGAAAAGCACAGUCUACUUCUCCAAGCAAACGUGAACAUUUUCAGAGGAAAUCUGCUUACUCCAUGUUCUUCAUGCUUUGUAUGUCCUACUGCAUAGUUAGUGCCGUGAUUGGUAGAAAAAGACACAGCCUGGGGAGAAAGUCUGUAUGAGCAUCUGUAUCUUUUGUUAAUAAACAACUGUGUGGCAGAAACUGAAGGAAACCUGAAAGACACAUUCCUUUAUAGCAGCUGCUCCACAGCCACCACUUAAUUCUUGCCACUUAGGCAUAGCAUCAGAUCUGGAGCAGCUGUGCGAGGUGUUUGAUGGUCCUGCAGAUGGCAUGAUCAUGCAUGGUGGAGGAAAGGAGUGUUUUUGGUGGCGGAGGCCCAGCUGCUUGCUGAUGGUCUGGGUUGGGGAUCCAGAGCUCCCUUGGCAGGGAAGAAGCAUGAGAAGGGUUCCCUGCUCCCAUUGCUUCACUGGGGCAGCAGGACAAAUGUGGCCAUAACCUCAUUUUCCCAACACAACCCAGAAUUGCUGUUAUCAGGAAAUAAGGGUGGUGACUGCAACGCUCCCUGUUUCACAACCAGAGAGAAACAUUUCUGCCCCCAUCUCUGACUAAAGAAAAACAUAUUUCCCACUUCUGGGGGUGAGGCUGAACCAAUAUAGCAUUUGAAGACACUUUUUUUCUGACCUCCCUUUCUGCGUGGGAGCAAACAUCCUUCUGUCCCUGAUGCGCCCUGCUCUCACUGAGCAACUUUCAGGGACAUCACACGAAGGACGGUAGGAAAACAUAUCUGACAAGGAGCUAACUCCUGGUGCUGACAAACAGUGAUGAAGUGGAA